AGACUGCUGGGGGGACGAGACCGAGCCCGGCCUCCUCUGGGACCUCGUCCCCACGGCCCCGGUCCCGGCUUCGGCCCGCCCAGCCCGGUCUCAGCAAAGAUCCUGCUGGUCACCCCAGCCCAUCUCCGAUCACCCCGGACACCUGAUGCGUUCUUCGUCCCCCCUCUCCCGCGGAAUCUAGUCCGUGACUCAGUCCCCUACCCGUCACGUCUCUCAGGAGCUUUCCACCCACUGGCCUCUCAUGCGCCUUGGCCAUAAAUCCCCCGUCUUUGUUGAAUUGGAGUUGAGCGCUCUCUUUCUCCUCUCACUGCAAUAAUUUUGAAUAACGCUUUUACCAACUGGUCAGAAUCAUCGUUUUCUUUCACAGAGGUCAGCGAUGGCUUUCUCAGAGUCACAGCAACAUCCGAAGCCCAGGGCUGUGGAGGAUCUCCCUGUUGGAGGGACCUCUGUUAAACCGUUGACUUUCCAUCCACCCAUUUCUAUUUUAAGAGUUUGUGGAAGAACUCAAGACCCCUCAGUGGCUGUUCCUACCCACUUGGUGGCCUGAGCAGUGGGAGCUGCAGCCCAGUCUUCAGUGGCAGGCUAAGCAUUCAGAAUCUAGUAUAGGGAACGGCCGGAUGGGCACGGAGGCACCCACCUGCCACCACGGGAUCUCUCUAGAAGCAGAGGUCAGGCGUGGCCUCCCGUGGGCGUGCACGGGAGAUGGUGCCACGCAGGCACGCGCAGAACCUCCCGGGGGACCAUCCACCACGUCAGACCCACGGGCGCUUGGCCUGAGUUCGCCGUGGACCGCUGCACCUGCCCUUCCCUGGUCCGGAUGCCUCGGGUGGUUCUGGCUCCACCCGCUUCUUCCUCCGGGCCCUGCUCAGCCAGGCCUUCCCACCGCCCUGACACUGACCGGUGACCUCCAGCUCCUGCUCCCCUGAACUCGUCAAUGUUGAGCACGACCCGAGACGGCGUCUGUCAUUCUCCCCCAGCCUGCGAGUCUGGGCUCCUCUUUUCCCUGGAGCCCCAGCCCCUAGGCAGGGUCUGCCUGUGGAGAGGCUUCAGGAGAGGCCUGCGGGCUGGCUGACUGACCUGCCACAUGGUCAGCAGGUAUCUUUAGAGCCAGCUCUGGCAGGUCCCCAAGUCCCCACUCCCUGUCGUCCGCUGGAGGGAGAAGUCCCCCCCCACACUGGGUUGCAAAGACUGCAGAUGGAUGUGGGGAAUUCGGGGGGGUGCUCGGCAAGGGUGCAGGGGUCACCUAAGUGAAAGAAUGAGCCCCUCUGCCCUCCUUCGCCAACAGGUGACCGUGGCCAGUGAGGAGAGUGGCCGGGACUGACGAAGUCUGUGGCAAACUGUUGCAGGAAGAGGGCCCCCUUCCAGGGCCGAGUGUGGGCUCUUGUCUAACACUCAGAAAUGAAUUUUUGAGGAGACACACAUGCUGACAAAGAAAAAGACUUUUCUGGGAAGGGGCCCCCCUGGGGGAGAGCGGCAGGGUCAGGAAACCAGGAGAACUGCUCUGCCUGUGGCUGGUAGUCUCGGGUUUUAUAGGAAUGGGGUGUUUCCAAGUUGUCUUUGGCCGGUGGUCUCGCUCGGCCCAUAUUUGGUCCAACUCGAGGCCCUUCCUGGUGGCGCACGUGCCCUCAGCCCCGAUGGAUUCCACCGCGGGGGGUUCUGGGAGGUUGGUGGGACGUGUUAUGGCGUCUCCUCCCUCCUUUGGGCCCCUCCCGAAUUCCCCUGUUUUUUUUUAGCUUUCGGCUGGCAGCACCAUGUUCCUUUGGGGACCUCCUGUUGUGAGCCAGCUUGCUUGAGUGGUUAUCAGUGUGCCUGGCCAGGGUGGGCAGUUUCGGGCAGUGGUUCCCCAGCAAAACCACAGAACGAACUUGUGUAAGAGAACAGCCUUGUGUACUCGUGUUAUACGGUGUCUAGACUGUCAGGGGUCCUUUCCAGCUCUGUUCCUGUUUUGUUUUUUUUCUUUUGCUUUUUAGAGCCACGUGUGGCAUGUGGAAGUUCCCAGGCUCGGAGUCAGAUUGGAGCUGCAGUCACCAGCCUAUGCUACAGCCACAGCAACGCGGGGUCCGAGCCACCUCUGUGACCUGCACCCCAGCUCAUGGCAACCCCAGAUA
This 2108-nucleotide long non-coding RNA is filed under the name Sus scrofa (pig). Its description in RNAcentral is "lncRNA (ENSSSCG00035009503.1)". Lineage: Eukaryota; Metazoa; Chordata; Mammalia; Artiodactyla; Suidae. The record is from RNAcentral.